CGGGGCGUGGCGCAGCCUGGUAGCGCGCCUCGUUUGGGGCGAGGAGGUCGCUGGUUCGAUUCCAGUCGCCCCGACCA
RNAcentral lists this transfer RNA (77 nucleotides) under Pseudomonadota bacterium. RNAcentral describes it as "Proteobacteria bacterium (marine metagenome) tRNA-Pro". It matches the Rfam family "tRNA". Rfam says of the family: Transfer RNA (tRNA) molecules are approximately 80 nucleotides in length. Their secondary structure includes four short double-helical elements and three loops (D, anti-codon, and T loops). RNAcentral also lists the same sequence under 2 other names. Lineage: Bacteria; Pseudomonadati; Pseudomonadota. The record is from RNAcentral.